CAACACUUUCCACCUCUCAGUCUGGUCCUGCAAAUCUUAGCUCUGGGCUCAGAGCUGCAGCCGGGCUUGGAUCUGCACACACACCUGCGUGCUUCUCUCCCCUGCUCCAGGACAACUGUGCAAGCCACACAGACUGCAGCCAAAGCCGAGGGGACAGCGGGAGUCAUUAACUCCAUCCCUCCUGUUUGCAGGCAAGCCAUUGAGUCAUAAAAUCUCAGGUCUAUGCGAGUUGAACAAGGACGAGAAGGACCCAGGCCGCGAUGGGAAAUCCAGACCAUCUUGGCUUUCCAAGGCAAACUGGUCUCUUAAACGCCCAGAGCUGCGAACAUCCCUUUCACGUGAAUGCCCCUUCCUCACUGGCUGCGGUCUUCUGAAAAAAGUAACAGGUCCAGCCCCUGUGAAAGGGAAGAGACCAAUUUGCCUUCCACAGGGAGAAACGAAGCCUUUGAAAAACCCGCCUCUUCAUUCAUAUCAAACCUUUGGACUGAUCAUACUUGGCAUAGGAGGGGCUCCCUCUGCUCAUUUAUAUAAAGACUUUCACAUGCAGUAGGAAACUUUGGUAUUAACAAUGGAGUGUGAGAUAGGCCAAUGAGUACCUAAGUAAAUGAAUGCACUCAGAGGUGGCUCAUUAACCUACAGCCUACUUCAAGGCACAUGGGGUUCCUCCAGCCCCCAUAUAAGCCAGGCCCCACACAGUCUGCCAGCACAGGACAUCUGGAAGGAUGCAGCUGUUCAGACACCACAGCCGGUUGCACACGCAGGUGACAGGAAAAAUUGUAUUGAGCGCUUUAUUCCAUUACAAGCAAUUUAUAUUUGGGCUAAAAGGGUACACAUUGCCCCCUGCCGCCCACAAGCCAGAUCUGCACCACACUGCUCUUCAGGUGAGACAAUUGGAAAUAUUCAGUGUAUCUGAAGCCCCAAACAACACUAAUAUUGCCCAUCCCAAGCCUUCUAAGUCAUACCUUUGGCUUUAACAAAAUAAGGUUUUAAAAAUAUAUAAUGACCAUUUAAUUUGCAUUGUGAGCCUUUAGGAGAGCCAGCUCUUCUCCACAAAUAUGGGGUAAUUGAGACUACUGUUUAAUGUAAGGUGAGAUCCUUGGGAAGCACAGGAUUGCAGCAGCUGGGGCUUGAAAGGAAACUCCAGCUACCCAGAGACUUCCAAUAAAACCCCAGGACUGUGUCAACCUA
This is a long non-coding RNA of Alligator mississippiensis (American alligator), 1188 nucleotides long. RefSeq lists it as uncharacterized. The record is from RefSeq and is a predicted model, not a curated record. Lineage: Eukaryota; Metazoa; Chordata; Crocodylia; Alligatoridae. The transcript has 3 exons.